Molecule: long non-coding RNA, 2100 nt
Organism: Drosophila virilis
Lineage: Eukaryota; Metazoa; Arthropoda; Insecta; Diptera; Drosophilidae
Source: RefSeq, a predicted model, not a curated record
AUUUUCCAAAACGAAUGCAUUAUUGAAAAUCAGUUUCUUCGUUUGGCUUUGUGUGUAUGGUUGUUAAUCAAUUACAAAUGUCUAAAUAGCAAUUAACGUAAUUAAAUGGCAAAUCGUUCAAUGUAAAAGAAGACGACAAUUUAAAGUGUUUUGAAUAAUAUGCUUGGUAAACUUUUUGUUGCAAUUAAACUAAAUUGGCCAAAAUUCUUAAGUCUUCGCCUAUUGAAGACGCAGCAAAGCAACAAGAAAGAGAGGGUGAGAGAGAGAGAGAGAUAGAACUACAGACAAAUGCAUAUUAAGUUUGUGGCAAGUUGCAACAGAUCCAGGAGGCGAGCAAAAGUUUGUUUUUUAUUAUGCAAAGCACGAUGGCUUAUGAAGCGACAGCCAGCCGCCCGCUGAAUAUCCUUUACUGGAGUGCGAAUAAAGGCAAACACAGAUAAAUCCAUUAUAAACGCACGUUUGCACACACAAAGGCAGCUGAAGAAAAUGAGAGACUGAGAGACAGGCAAAAGGGAUAUACAGCGAAAGAACAAGAGAAUUGCCAAACAAUGUUGCAAGCUCUUUAAGCAACAUUUCUCGCUCUUGUGCCUUUAAGGACACUUCUCUUGCUUGCAUUCGGGUUAUGUGUGGUAUGGGAUAAAUUGCGCAGCGGCUGCUUCAUUAAAAUGAUAAACACGCACGCGAUGCCAAUGUGCUGCCGGCCGCAUGUCCUUGCCGCAAGCGGCUUGCAAUUGCGGCCAAUCCAACAACAACCGGAACAAUGGCAACAGCAGCAGCAGCAGCAGCAGCAGCAGCAGCAGCGGCAGCAAGAAACACGCCUGGCGCACUUCCAACAAUAAGCAACAAUUUUAGCAGCCGCCAAAGCUAUUAUCCAGCGCCAGGACCUCGUAGCUGCUUUUUGCUAUGCCUGCCAGGCAGGCAAACAGCCAAACAGCCAGACAGACAGCCAGAGAGCCAACCAGGCUGGCAAGCAGGCACAAAUUGUUUUUUACACAUGUGCGCGCAACAUAUUAAAUUGUAAACAUGCAUAAAUGUUGUUUAUUGGGCAGCGCCGAGAACCAAACAAAACAAUAGCGAGACAGAAAAGAAAACAAUGCACCAAUAUUGAACAGCCCAAAGUUACCCUGUACUCAGCUUUGAUCUUAAAAAACACAAACACAUUAAGGACUACGCCUUGCUUAUUCUUUCAACUUUAACUAAAGUAGCUAUCUAAAGAUGUAUAUAUUAAGUCACAGAUAAAGAACGUAUCUAUGAAAAGUUCGUAUAUGAAAACAAUUGGCCAAACUGCAUUGAUUAUUAUAGGGCAUACAAAUGGGCAAAUAAUAUGUGAGAAUGCAAGCGCUACACUCGACUCGACUCGAUUUCGACUACUUGGCAGGGCAGUUGAGAGAAGCGAACGACUGUGGAGCGUGUGCCAAAAACAAUUUUAUGUUGCUUGAUGACGUUUGGAGCGUGCUGUGCGCUCCUUGAGGCUUAGCGAAAGUGUAUCCUGUCAAAGGAUAUUAUGCAACGAAAUUAUUGUAGUUGGCACCAAGCAAAAAGUUUGCCAAAAAAAACGAAUAAUAAAAUACAAACAUAAACAGAGGCUCGGCGACUGCGGCGAGUAAGCUGCCAAAAGUCCUGCUGAGCCCAGACCAACUGGCAUGUGUGAAACCAGGCAAAUGGCUCUGUAUGUGUGUAUCUGUGGUUGGAGAGGUGCAGGGAUGUGUGCUGCGGGGUGCAAGCGGUGCUACAAAUGCGACAAAUGAGCGCCGCAUUAGCGUCACCAAAAGUGCGACCGCCAUUUAAAUGCACAAGGGCAGCAAAAAAAAUAAUAAUAUUAAAAAAAUCCGUUGUAAUUAUUUUGCGCACAUUUUGACAAGGACUAGCCACAACGCUCGACAGGAUAUUAGCAGCAAAAUGCAAAGAGAGAAAAGGCCUCAAAACUGCAAAUCAAAAAUAACAAAAGCUCGUCAACAUAACGAAAUAAUUCUGAGCAAAUCUCUUGCAAAUCGGCUUAAAAUUUGCAAUAUGCAGCUAGAGAAAGCUUUGAGAUAAACGCGUUUCAUCAAAGGACAACAUAAAUAAAAAGAAAUGUGUCAAUAAAUGCUAUAACAUAUA